UGGGGAAUAUUGCACAAUGGGCGCAAGCCUGAUGCAGCCAUGCCGCGUGUAUGAAGAAGGCCUUCGGGUUGUAAAGUACUUUCAGCGAGGAGGAAGGCGUUGUGGUUAAUAACCGCAGCGAUUGACGUUACUCGCAGAAGAAGCACCGGCUAACUCCGUGCCAGCAGCCGCGGUAAUACGGAGGGUGCAAGCGUUAAUCGGAAUUACUGGGCGUAAAGCGCACGCAGGCGGUCUGUCAAGUCGGAUGUGAAAUCCCUGGGCUCAACCUGGGAACUGCAUCCGAAACUGGCAGGCUAGAGUCUUGUAGAGGGGGGUAGAAUUCCAGGUGUAGCGGUGAAAUGCGUAGAGAUCUGGAGGAAUACCGGUGGCGAAGGCGGCCCCCUGGACAAAGACUGACGCUCAGGUGCGAAAGCGUGGGGAGCAAACA
This 427-nucleotide ribosomal RNA is filed under the name uncultured bacterium. RNAcentral describes it as "partial 16S ribosomal RNA". It matches the Rfam family "Bacterial small subunit ribosomal RNA", at positions 355 to 774 of the family's 1533-position model. The record is from RNAcentral.